Molecule: long non-coding RNA, 468 nt
Organism: Zerene cesonia (dogface butterfly)
Lineage: Eukaryota; Metazoa; Arthropoda; Insecta; Lepidoptera; Pieridae
Exons: 2
Source: RefSeq, a predicted model, not a curated record
UUCUGUUUUGUUACGAUUCAUUUCAAGGACACGGUUGAUGUAUAAAUGUUUCUAAAAUCAUAAAAAUAAAGCAGUAUCGCUGUGAACCCAGUGGACAGAAGGAUUACUACCAUUUCAAAAACUUAUUAAAAAAAUGUUCGCUAAAUUGAUCAUACUUUUCGCCGUGUUGGCUUUCGCUAUGGCUAGACCCCAGCUAUAUUCCGGUUAUGGAUACAACGGUUACUCGGCUGGCUACCCCGGGUACUACGGCGGUUACUCAGGCUACGCAAACCCGUUGGCUUACAGCGGCUAUGGGGCCUAUGCGGGGUCGCCUUACAGCUAUGGUUACGGUUAUUAUUAAAGAAAUUAUAGACUAGGGUUAAAUAACGAGCAAAACUUUAUAUAGUAUGAUUGUCAACUACGUUACAACAGUUUAUUGAAUGUAAGAUUAAAAGAAAAUUGCCUGAAAAAUAUUAUAUUGUGAUAUCU